RNAcentral lists this ribosomal RNA (465 nucleotides) under uncultured bacterium. RNAcentral's name for it is "partial 16S ribosomal RNA". It matches the Rfam family "Bacterial small subunit ribosomal RNA", at positions 338 to 795 of the family's 1533-position model. The record is from RNAcentral.
CCUACGGGUGGCAGCAGUAGGGAAUUUUUCACAAUGGGCGAAAGCCUGAUGGAGCAAUGCCGCGUGAAUGAUGAAGGUCUUCUAGAUUUUAAAAUUCUUUUAUUUGGGGAGAAUAACUACAGUAGGAAAUGACUUUAGUCUGACUGUACCAUUUGAAUAGGUAUCGGCUAACUAUGUACCAGCAGCCGCGGUAAUACAUAGGAUGCAAGCGUUAUCUGGAUUUACUGGGCGAAAAACGAGCGCAGGCGGAUUAACAAGUUUGCUAUGAAAGGAUUUUGCUAAACGACGGCUUGUAUCAGAAACUGUUAAUCUAGAGUGUAGGAGAGAGUUCUGGAAUGCCAGGUGGAGCGGUGGAAUGCGUAGAUAUAUGGAAGAACACCAGUGGCGAAGGCGGGAACUUAGGCUAUCACUGACGCUUAGGCUCGAAAGUGUGGGGAGCAAACAGGAUUAGAUACCCGUGUAGUC